ACUUUGCAGAACUAUGGUGAGC
RNAcentral lists this non-coding RNA (22 nucleotides) under Rattus norvegicus (Norway rat). Lineage: Eukaryota; Metazoa; Chordata; Mammalia; Rodentia; Muridae. The record is from RNAcentral.